UUCGCUGCGCCAACUAGCGGUGGGGUAUCUGAAGCUGGCUCGUAACCUGAAUUUUAGCUUGCAACUCAAAGCAAAAAAUCGGCCGAGAGACAGCUCGUAUCUCGAAAAACUCGUUGGUCGGGGCACUCGUAAGUCAUGGCCCCACUGUAAAGUCUUAUUUUACCUAUUUGCCCAUAAACUUUGUGUCUGGAUUUUAUUCAGUAGCCUCUCCAUUUUCUUCCCCAGGGCUCAUCUCAGAAGUGCCCCCUCUUUCUUCACCGUUGGAAAGCCCACGGCACAUUACCACCUGUGUGGAGUGCUUCUCAUGCGGCCCCAAGGCCCGCACCAUCCAAGGCGCUUCUGAAAACACCUGCACACUGGGGGCUACUGAGGGAACCGCCCUGGGGUAUGUGGGGAGACGACAGAAUGGCCCCUCACAAUACCAGCUGCUUUCAUUUCCCACGAGUUCCCUAUGAGAGGAAGAAAGAGAACAAGAAGCAUGAAGAGCCGCCUGAAGGCCUGGCCCAGCCUCAUGGUCAGCUGCUGGAGAAGGGCAAGGGUGUCCACAUCCCUGAGGACAAAACAGAGGACACAGGAAGUGACCAGUCUACUGAGGAAGGCUCUCCUCUCAGCAAAACAGAAGCACGAAAAUAUGCCAAAGGGUUUAAUCGCGUCCAGAGCGCAGCCUCUUUCCAACAUCCCUUCCUGCUUCCCCCGCCAGCAUCCCUCCCAAAGAAAAAUUACUACCAAAGAUAAGAACUGAAAAAUGGCCCAAAUGCUCUCAUGAUCUCACAAUUAAAAGGAGCAACAGGAAGCAGCAGCCUCAUCCUCCCCCACCCCUGUAACCUCCAGAUCCUUCUCGGGUACCCAGGGGCACACCUCCUGAGCUGGGUGGACGCGGGCCCCCCCUCCUGCCGGCUGGUCCUGGAGGAGCGGUGGCCAGUGCAGCAUUAAGCAGACGCGAUGGACGGGAGGCUCUGGCAGAGCCCACGGAAGCUGCGUUCCUCGGGGAAGGUAGCACUGAGCCCGUGGCAGCUGCGCGAGACAGAAGGCCAUGGGCGGCCCGCUGUGGUCACAUGAAGACUGGACGUGGUUCGCCUCCGGGCUGAAGGGGAAGUCUGCCCCCAGAACAUCACAGGCUCCUCCAAAGCCCCGAGACACAACCCAAGACAGCUCAGCUGGAAGGAAACCAAAGCUCCUGUUCAGACAAAAUCUUCUCCAGCACCCCCGCCCCCUCUCCUCUGUGUCACACGCAUUGACCGAGAGUCUGCCACGUUCAGGACAUCAUGCGAGGCUGUGCUAGCCGCCGCCACCCCCUCCCACCAGGGGAGGCUUUUACUAUGUCAGCGUUCCACGACGACCUCAAAGAGUUGUCGCUCAGCCACUGAGCCACGCCGGCUGGGGACACAGUUAUUCUGAGUCAUGUUUUUAUACCUCCUCUGACCUCCUGGGGAGACCGCUCAGCCGGGCUCACGCACUCUGUUUAAAUUCCGCGAGAAGAGCAGUGCUUCACUUCGGGCCUUGGGAGCUUCCCGAGAGAGCACCCAGGUUCCCACCCUGGCCCUCCGCAUCAGCUCCUGAACGGCGGGGGAAGGAAAUGAGCACCACCCAAGGUCGUGGCUGGGAGAGGAAGACGUCAAAGGAAACAGAGAUGCAGGCUUGCCGUUACCUAGCUCUUCACUGCAUGCGUGUGGGAGAGAACUGUCUGGCAGCGACGGGAAGUUAGAUGGCACUGAGCUGAGGCGGAGCUGCAUCGCACCCCUGGACGCUGGCCAGAAUGGAAAUGAAUGACGAAGGGACAGCAGAGACUUCACUUUUGGGUUCCCUUCUUCCUUUAUUUCCUUCAGUCCUCCCUCCCUCUCUUCCUCUCUCUCCCACGGGCCAAACGCGUCCUGCGACCUGUUCUUGGAUGGCUUGCAAAGGAGGAACGGACUUACCAUUUUUAAAUGAUUGAAAAGGAAACCAAAACUAUAUGACACUUUUUAGUGCCCAUAAAUAAAGCUUUAUUGAAACACAGCCGCACCUACCCAUUUACAUGUUCUCGAUGGCUACUUUUGUGCCGCCACAGCCGUGUUGCAUAGCUGCCAUUUGUAUAGUUGCAACAGAGUCCGCAUGGCCCACAAAGCCUAAAAUAUUUACUAUCUGGCCCUCGACAGAGAGAGUUUGCUGACCUCUGCACAAAGUGAAAGAAUAAUUCUGCACAAAUGCAGAAAAAUGAGAGGGUCGCACGCUUCCUUCUUCAGUUGACCUAGUUAAAUGGCCAUGUGGCGCCCUUAGUUAUCUUCUCUUCAGUUAACCCCUCGGAGUCAGAAUCAACUCCACUCCCGUGGCCUUGGCAAGGCCACUUGCCCAUCCUUCCCCUGCGGAGAGCGAGGCCCCGCCUGCCCACCACGUCCUCAGCUUCCAGAGAGAGCAGAUCAGAACGUCCUUGGCCUCCAUCUGUGUCCCAGUAAGAGCUUUCCUGGCCCUGAGUUGAGGGGCUGCUCCCUUCUGCACAAGCCUCUGGCUUGUUAUGCUUUGGGGUCCACCCCAGAGACGUCAACCCCGGUCCAGGCGGGGAAGACGUGAGCACUGGGCGUGGGAGUCUGCAAUGUGGCGUUUCUCUCCUCGUCUCCAGGAACAGACUUGAAGCUGCCAACCCCCCUGGGACCUGUGUAUCCACCGUUCAUCUUGAGUCCGAGCUCCAAAGCUGUGGGACGAAGCUGGCAACUGUCUCCUCCCUCGGCAAAGAACUUCCAAAUACACGACGUAAGUCUCCCAAGGGCCCCUCUCCUCCCUAUGGCCCUGCAGGCUGAGAGGUGAGACUGUGCCCCACACAGGGGCGAGCUGAGCAAACGAGGUGCCGAUGGUUUCUCUUGACCGUUGACCUCGUCCCACCCCCAUCACCUCCUGCCUCCACGUGAGGCCGGUGCAGAGAGAGAGAUGAAGCCCUGAGCACAGGUCAUACUGCGUUGUGGAUCUCAUCAGGGUUCCCCGAAAGAAGAAAAGUCCUCAACAUCGGACAGUUUUCUGAGGCCCCGAAUGGUCUCUUCCCCCACAGGUACCUCUGUUCUCCCUCAAUUGCUGCUACAUUUCCACUGAGUGAGGGGCGAGUCUUCACCCCCUGCCUUGCCUCCGGUUCACAGGCUCAUUUUGUUUUGUGUGAAAGCUCGGUGGCAAUCUAAUCCUCUCUCCCUCCUGUCGUGCCAUCCAGAAAUGGCCUUCAAUUGCUCCUCACGUGACAAACCUCUGCUGAGCACUUAGCACGAGACAUGUCAUCCAUCCAAGUGGUAAAACGCAGGCUCUGUUUCUGAGGACCCCGGGUGCAGUUGGGACAUAACUGGGUAGAGAGACCUCGCAGGAAGUCAGGUGGGGGACACAGACUCUCGGGGGAGAUGGUGCGGAAGCCCAGAGGAGGAGCUAGCUCUGACUGGGGCCAGACACUUCCUUGGAAGCCAACAUCAGAAUUCUGAAAGGGGCGUAGGGGAGGCAGGAGAGGAACAGAGGGGGGCUGAUCUGGCAGGAAAGGAGGUGCAUGCAGGUUUUGGCUCCUCUGGAAAAUGUCCUGGUGGUCAUGAUGGUGAUGAUGGCCUUCCUAACAGAGGCGCCAUGACAGGUCGGGGAAGGAGCAGACAGAAGGGCCCAGAGGUGGAGGACUCUCUCAUCUUUUACGGGAUACAGCUCUGCUCUCAGUCGGCUCCAACCCUAUCCAGAGUGAUGGGGCUGGUCUGGCCCGUUAAGGCCCACUGGCACCUGUCUGUCCGUCCUCAAGGUGGACUCUGGGGCCACCUUCCUUGGAACAGAGUCACCCCCUGAAGCCACGCAUGUGAAUUUAAACUGGAGGCAAGAGAAGGUGACAGAGGCCGCGGGAAGUCCUCUCACCUGCUGGGUCUCACUGUUUCCGUUUGGGAUGUGGGAUGUUGACCUCUAAUGUCCCUAGGGGCCUCCGAUGUCAGCUCCUGUCCCCACUGCCUCCAGAGCUGCCCUCGCAGUGCCCGCCUGGGCAGUACUGGGAGAAAGAAACCAACACAUUCGUUUCCUGCUGUGUGGGAGGCAGGAAAUGGUCCAACCCCCUAAUUGGGAUGAGGUUCCUGCGGUGUGUCCAGCCGCCCACUCCUCAGCACACCCCCGCUCCCCAGGUGUCUCAGCGAGAAAGGCGGGUGCACCCGGCCAUCGAAGCCAGGCUGCAUCUACCACCACCACCUUGCCAACCAUUACCCUGCCUCUGUGGGGCGUAAAAGAAUCAAUACAUAGCCCUGGAAGGUCUGUUUAGUGGUUAGAGCAUUGGCCCGAGGACCGAAGGUUUGAGGGUCCGGGUCCUAGUUAAGGGCAUGUAUCUUGUUUGUUAGUUCGUCCCCGGGGUCGGUCAGGGCAUGUGCAGGAGGCAACCAGUUCAUGUGUCUCACACAUCGAUGUUUCUCUCUCUCUCUCUCACCCUCCUCCCUCCCACUCGCUUUCUAAAGAUCAAUGGAGAAAAUAUCCUUGGGUGAGGAUUGAAAAAAAAAAAAAGAAUCAAUACGUAGAGAGAGGCAGCAUUUGCUGCGCCUCCUCUGCACCCAAGGGGGAGCCGAGCAUGUCCGGGCACACUGUGUAGUGUCUCUCCAAGUGGAAUGCAAAUGGGGCUCCUUUGCUCCUCAGUUUCUAAUAGAAGUGAGAUUAGAAUCCCAAGAGGGGACCCUACAUCACACAAUCACGCGUCGGAGCCUGCCUCUGGCCUUCAGCAGGGAUGGCCGUCGGUUGAUGGCAUUCUUGGCAGCCAGGGUCCCACGCACCAUGCCAUUUCGAGGCUGGAAACGACCUCAGCCACCGAACCACCAUAGAGGUGGGUGGUGAGUUGAGGUCCUACAGUGAGUGGCACAGUCAGAAUAGAACUCGGUGCCCUGAUCCCCAGUCUGCUGUGCAGACCCAGCAACUCAUGGAGCAGACGGCCCUUUUCUCUACCUCCCAAGGCUGUAGACCAUUCAGAAAGGCAAAUGGCGGUCCGCCUAGUGCAGGAGAGGCGUGAAGAAGUGCCUGUUUUAAGCAGUACACCCUGACUUGUGGGAGCUGGUGGGACGCGCUCUCUGGGCUCCUCACCGCAGGUGCCCGUGGCCCGUCCCCCCCAGCAGGGCCCUUUCCGGGACCUCCUGGACAUGAAGACGGAGAAGAGACUGGCCGGCUGGAAGGAGCGUCGCAGUCGCUACGGGGACAUCAACAUGCACAAAUACUAUCAGCUCGGGCAGGUCUUCACCCCUUUCCGGGCCCUCGCCACCAUGUCUCUCGUCACCACCUUUAUGGAACAUGACUCAGUCAGUGCUUCCCAACCCUGUUCACGCCAUCAGCACCCCGAAGUCUGAAGGGGGCCAUUGUUCAGGCCGCCUGGAACCCACUCACAGCUCCAGUGCGCACAGGAACCCAGGCAGUUAAUCUUCACCCCCACGCCAAUCAGAUCAGAAAACCUGGGGGCAGGUCCCAGGCAUCAGCAUGUUUUAAAGCCUCUUGAUUUGAUGACCAACCCGCCCAGUUUUGCCAGGACUGACUCUCACACUUCUCUCGGAAUUUCCCAUCUUUUGCCACUAAAAGUCCUGAGUCCCAGGAAAGCCCUCAGUUUUUGUUUUAAAACGGAGUCUCGAGUCCUUGGAAUUUGUACAAACCAGACGGCGAGCCACUCUAUCCAGGCAUGAUUUUAAUGCCUAGCCAAGUUUCCAAGGACUGCUCUCUGAACAUUCUAGAAAUUAGCCCCAAUUCCUCAUGUCACAGUUGCUGCCCAUCUAUCCAUUCACUAACCAGCAUUCCUUAGGCGUGUACACAGCCCGGAGCUGAGAACUUUGGAGGACCCAGCAAUGAAAAUCUCAGUCCUACCCCCAAGGAGCUUCUAGCCUACUAGGGAUACCGAGUCAUGAGCCCAAACCAUGCUGCAGACACAAGUAUGAUGCCACAGUAAUAAGAACAGCUCCAUAAGUGGAUAGACCCAGAAGGAGACAAGGGGUCUCCAAAUAUGAGCUGCUUUCUGCUAAAUCCACCCCCAAGGUCAUGAUGAAGAGCAAAGCCUGCACAUAGGGACACCCUCUUGACUCACAGUGCCACCUGGGAAGAGCAGAUUGGCCAUGUAUUGGGAGCAAUCGUCCCCAUGUAUAGAGUUCUUACUAUGUGCCAGGUAUAGUGCUAAAGACUUCCCAGGCCUUGAUUCUUGGGACCUCUACCCCAUUAACAUCAUUUUAUCAAUGAGGAAGCAAAAGAUGAGGCGUGUUAAGUAACUUGCCAGCCAGUGGCGGAGCCAGGAUGAGCCUGCUGUGCUGGAACAGGUGCUCCCGACCUCCAUGCGUUAUCUCAUUGCCGUUAUUCUCUGCCUCGUAGGAGAUGCGAAGGCUGGUAUUUCCCCAACACCUGCCCAUGAGUCUGCACAUGCACAAAAUGGGCAUUUCGUGCACCGACGAAAGGACUCUCCGAGACUUACCUUUGUCUUCCACAGAGCUGGGCUUGGGAAUGGAUGACAACACC
Molecule: RNA transcript, 6438 nt
Organism: Myotis myotis
Lineage: Eukaryota; Metazoa; Chordata; Mammalia; Chiroptera; Vespertilionidae
Exons: 5
Source: RefSeq, a predicted model, not a curated record